AGAAUGUGAGAUUCCUACCAAAAAAAGGAGAAAAAUGUCAACAUCCUCUCAGAAGCCAUCAAGCCUCCCAAAGCCUCCAAGUUACAAACCACCUACUGACAUCACAGCUCACUCACCUGAGGAAGAUGAGCCAUCCCUUCCAAAUCUUUCAGCUAAUAAUACUUUUCAUGAUACAGUUUUUGAGCCUGAUGGGAGGUAGCAACAUUGGAGACGCUGUGAGGAGAAUCCUUCGGAAAAUAGCCACCAAUGAGGCCUGGUCAAAUUACAGCCUGAAAGGCCGAAAAGGAAAACUGACCUUCAUUGGGACAGCCCUCCACCAUAUUGUUUUAAGUAUGCUUUUCAAAACUUCUCUCUUCUUUUCACUUCAUCAUGCAACUUUUUAAAGAGCAAAUGAUAAACAGAAAAAUGUCUGUACUUACCCUGUACCUUCGAAUAAUUUGUUUUCUCGUUUUUGACUUCUAAACGAAAAAAAAAACAAGUAAAAAAAAAAAAAAAUCAUUUUAUUCAGCAAGGAUGCAUUAAAUUGGCCAGAAAAGAGAGUUAAGAUUUACAUUUCAAAUAAAUGCUGCUUUUUUUUCUUUCAUUCAUCAAAUAACCCUGAAAAACACAAAAAUGUGAAGAAGCACAACUGUUUUCAUCACUAAUAAUCAUAAAUGUUUCAUAUGGUUUUA
This is a long non-coding RNA of Carassius carassius (crucian carp), 671 nucleotides long. RefSeq lists it as uncharacterized. The transcript has 3 exons. The record is from RefSeq and is a predicted model, not a curated record. Lineage: Eukaryota; Metazoa; Chordata; Actinopteri; Cypriniformes; Cyprinidae.